RNAcentral lists this ribosomal RNA (365 nucleotides) under uncultured eukaryote. Its description in RNAcentral is "partial 18S ribosomal RNA". It matches the Rfam family "Eukaryotic small subunit ribosomal RNA", at positions 592 to 976 of the family's 1831-position model. The record is from RNAcentral.
CAAUAGCGUAUAUUUAAGUUGUUGCAGUUAAAAAGCUCGUAGUCGGAUUUUGGCUGAGAACGAUCGGUCCGCCGUUAGGUGUGCACUGAUUGGUCUCAGCUUCCUGGUGAGGAGGUGUGCUUCACGGCCACUUAGUCACCGUGGUUACUUUGAAAAAAUUAGAGUGUUCAAAGCGGGCUUACGCUUGAAUAUAUUAGCAUGGAAUAACACCAUAGGACUCCUGUCCUAUUUCGUUGGUCUCGGGACGGGUGUAAUGAUUAAGAGGAACAGUUGGGGGCAUUCGUAUUUCAUUGUCAGAGGUGAAAUUCUUGGAUUUAUGAAAGACGAACUUCUGCGAAAGCAUUUGCCAAGGAUGUUUUCAUUGA